Molecule: long non-coding RNA, 1499 nt
Organism: Silurus meridionalis
Lineage: Eukaryota; Metazoa; Chordata; Actinopteri; Siluriformes; Siluridae
Exons: 3
Source: RefSeq, a predicted model, not a curated record
UAAAACACCAAGACAACCAGCAAAUGAUCGCUCCCUCGCUCUCAGUUUAAGUGGAACGUGUUCCGAUUCGGAUCUCUGAGGGGCGUUCAUCAAAGAGCUCUUCAGUGACACUUCAGUGAUGAAAGAGCAUCUCUUUAUCCUUUUCUUGUUUACAGGAUUCAUUUCCUUCACCCUCUCUAUCCCUCGUAAGUAUUAUCUGAUCCACCAGGGAAAAAGAUGGAGUGAUGCUCAGACCUACUGCCGAACUACACACACUGACCUGGCCACCAUAGAAGACGCCAAAAACAUGGUUCGAGUCCAAUAUGUCACUCAGAGUAAAAUUUUUAAUUCUAGUGCUUGGAUUGGGCUUUCAAAUGAUGUCAACAGCUGGCACUGGUCAAUGGGAAAUCAACCACUUGGAAGCUUUUAUAUGUGGUUUGCCCCAAAUCCUGACAACUGGAAUGGAGUAGAAUCUUGUGGUGCAAUAGCACCAUGGGGUUGGAAUGAUUCUCCAUGUUCUAAACUGCUUCCUUUUGUCUGCUAUAAUGGUAAGGAACAACAAAUUACCUGCUUGGUCAUUUUUUAAUGGAGAAUUGUGUUCAAAAAGAAAUGAUAGGUGUCUUUAGUGUUCUCAUUGACAUUAAUCCUCUUUUAAAGUGCUUCAAGAUUAAACAGUGAAUUAAGUGAUGUAUUUACAUUCAGUUCCAUAUCUGUUUAUUUCUCAGUGCAUUGGACUGAGUAGUUUAGAGUAAAAUAAAACUAGUAGAAUAUUUUUAAAUACUAAUAUUUCUGUCUGAAUGCAUUGUGGAGGCCAAUUAAAAUUCUUCAGUUAAAGAAUUUGGUAAUGAUGACAGAAUGAUCCUAAUAAUGACUGGCAAGAAAGUAUUUCCUACCAGACAGUAUUACGUUCUAAUCUACAGUAGUGUAGUAAAUAGGGGUGUAACAGUAUAUGUAUUUGUACCAAACUUUUUCAGUACAGGGCUUUCGGUUCAGUGCACACAUACCUAAUGUAAUCAUUUUUAUGUGCAGAACAUAGUAACAAACUAAGUUCCCUCAGGAGCGUAUUAAGUGGCCGACCACAAGUUUGUUAAGUCUCCACUUCGCACUUUGAGCACAUUUUAUUAGUUAUUAUUGAACUUGAAAUCAUACGUAACAAUCCCUUUGGUAUAAAAAGGAAUAGAGUUAGCGCAGUGUAUCUGUGGCUACUUACUCUGUACCGCAAAUAAGAUUUGAAGUGCAAUGUUUUGCCCAUGCGUGAAAUCGCUCCCACUUCCUGCUAUUGCUAACUCAAACACUACAGAUUCUUUGCCGUUCGAUGUGCAGCUUCAAGAAUUUCUCUUUAAUGGAGAAAAUCGUGACAAUUUCACGUAAUUAAUUUCCAUCUUCUCCCGAGAUGGCACCACAGAUGGCUUCCUCAGUGUGGAGUUUUCCAGUUGCUUUACUAUUUUUGUUACAAUUACAGUACAUUUACAGCAUUUAGCAGACGCCCUUAUCCAGAGCAAUGUACAAAAGUGCUUUCG